RNAcentral lists this long non-coding RNA (386 nucleotides) under Homo sapiens (human). Its description in RNAcentral is "non-protein coding lnc-CUL2-3:3". The record is from RNAcentral. Lineage: Eukaryota; Metazoa; Chordata; Mammalia; Primates; Hominidae.
GAAAUAACCAUGGAUAUGGGUAGAGACAGAGCCAUAUGGAAUGCACACUGCAGUGGUGAACACAUGGCCCAGCUCUGCCAUCAAGGAGAAGGAACAUGAAUGGAGCUGGAGGCCAUCAUCCUUAGUGAACUAACACAGGAGCAGAAAACCAAAUACCACAUGUUCUCAUGUGUAAGUGGGAGCUAAAUGAUGAGAACACAUGGACACAAAGAGGGGAACAACAGACACUGAAGCCUCCUUGAGGGAGGAGGGUAAGAGGAAGGAGAAGAUCAGAAAAGAUAACUACCAGGUACUAUGGUAGCUUAGUACCUGGGUGAUGAAAUAAUCUGUACACCCAACCCUCAUGACAGAAGUUUACCUGUGUAACAAACCUGCACAUGUAUCCC